AUACGGAGGGGGCUAGCGUUGUUCGGAAUUACUGGGCGUAAAGCGUACGUAGGCGGACUGAUCAGUUGGGGGUGAAAUCCCAGGGCUUAACCCUGGAACUGCCUUCAAUACUGUCAGUCUUGAGAUUGGAAGAGGUGAGUGGAAUUCCUAGUGUAGAGGUGAAAUUCAUAGAUAUUAGGAGGAACACCAGUGGCGAAGGCGGCUCACUGGUCCAAUACUGACGCUGAGGUACGAAAGCGUGGGGAGCAAACAGGAUUAGAUACCCUAGUAGUCC
This 274-nucleotide ribosomal RNA is filed under the name uncultured bacterium. RNAcentral describes it as "partial 16S ribosomal RNA". It matches the Rfam family "Bacterial small subunit ribosomal RNA", at positions 523 to 796 of the family's 1533-position model. The record is from RNAcentral.